CUUCCACGCCAAAGAAUAGACGACUUAUGCAGCGAAAGAGGCAGCAAGCUUGCGGGAAGAAAUUGACUGCAUAUGACCAAUGAAUUUUGUCAUAUAAACAAAUAAGAUGUUUCAUCCAUGAAAUGCACUGGAUUAAGCAUUUCUAUAUUAUUUGACUGCAUAUGACCAAUGAAUUUUGUCAUCUAACUAUAUAUGCACUGGAUUUUUUUAUUUUAUUUCAUUUAAGCUAUAUACAUAUUUUAAUUAUGCUAUAUUUUUGGUGAUCACAACACGAAACCAAAUUUCCAAUAAUUUCGGUCAAGACUUGACUGAAAACGUGGCUUCUACGUCUCUCAAGUCAAAUUUAACAACAUCAGUAUUAACAUAGGCACUAACAUUAAUUUCAAUUAAUUAACUACUUCAUACUAUAGGAAUCAAUUUAUAGUUAAAAAAUUUCGGAGAAGAAUCUAUCAAAUAUAGGGGAGGUUAGGUCAUUUGGCAUGAAAAUUUUAAAUCUAAAGUUAGAUAUAUUUAAUUCAAUUUAUAAAUGCUAAACUGAUUAAAUGAUUCGCCCAUAAUUUAUUCAAUUACUCAAAUAUAUAAAGUUAUUUAAGAAUUAUAUUCCGAAUUUUAAUAGUUUAAAACAAUUGCAUUUGCGGAAUAGCAAUUCUUAAAUUUAAACAUCAAAUAAUGUAAUAAGCUGCAAAGUCAAGUGCAAAUUUAGCUAAAAUGGUAAAUAAAACUCCCUUCUAAACAUGAAAAAUAAUAAUUAAACUAUACAACUAAAAUAUAACCAAAAAAAUUAAACUAUACAAAAAAAAAUAUAACCAACUUAAAGAUCCAGCUAGCAAUCUGUUUUGUUCUUUUUAUUUUUGCCUUUCAAUAAAUUAGCCUUUCUGGGUUGCCUGACCCAUCAUCACGUUUGUAUAUUGUACAUACAGAUGUUGGAACCGAUAUUUCCCAAUGGAGGACUUCUGCAUCUUGGUUACUAGGAAUAUUCCAAAUUUACCUCACCUAUAUUAACCCAAAUUUAAAGCCGAGCCAAUCUGACUUGAUAAGUUAACAACUCAAAUACAUUUAAGCAUAACUUCAAUUCAUUUCAACUGAAAUGGAUUAAACCUAAUACUUAUCGGGAGUAAAAAAAAGUAAUUCCCAUGCGCAAAAAAUAUUCAACAAAUUUGUAAUGAUAAAUGACAGGAAGUUGAAAUUAUUCAAACAAACCGGAUAAAUGACUGGAAGUUGAAAUUAUUCAAACAAACCGGAUAAAUGACAAGAUUAUCUAAGUUCAAAAGCUUCAGCUUUAAACUCAAAUAGAUGAAAUCCGUAAUGAUUUCAACUCAAAAAAUAUUCAACAAAUUUGUAAUUAACAUGCGCAAAAAAUGUCAAAUGAAUAAAUAUUAGAACCCAUCAAUAAUUUAUUCCUUCUGCUGAAAAUUAUUUCAUUCAAAUUGCCCAUUCCCAAUUGAUUCAUUCCAAAUAAACAAAACCCUGAAUCCCAAAUAAACAAAACCCUAAAAUUUUAUUUUUAUGACAGAAUCGGUUUAAUCGAAACCUUAAAUCCCAAAUAAACAAAACCCUAAAAUUUUAAUCGGUCAUCGACAGAAAUGGCUUACCUGUGAUACAAAUCUCGCAGCUUUGCCCAACAAUGGUGUAAAGAUCGAUUCCAAACUUCUGUUGAUUCCUGAGAUGUCGGCUCCUUUUUUUUUCUUGCUAUUUUUUUUAUUUUCUUCCCUGUCGAAUCGCUGCUGUUACUCUGCUUAAGUUUCUUCAAAUUUUGGUAAAGGAGACGGAGGGGAGGGAUUAAGUAAA
This 1788-nucleotide long non-coding RNA is filed under the name Gossypium barbadense (sea-island cotton). RNAcentral describes it as "long non-coding RNA (GBAR_LNC013267)". Lineage: Eukaryota; Viridiplantae; Streptophyta; Magnoliopsida; Malvales; Malvaceae. The record is from RNAcentral.